This 504-nucleotide ribosomal RNA is filed under the name uncultured bacterium. RNAcentral describes it as "partial 16S ribosomal RNA". It matches the Rfam family "Bacterial small subunit ribosomal RNA", at positions 28 to 506 of the family's 1533-position model. The record is from RNAcentral.
GACGAACGCUGGCGGCGUGCCUAAUACAUGCAAGUAGAACGCACAGUUUAUACCGUAGCUUGCUACACCAUAGACUGUGAGUUGCGAACGGGUGAGUAACGCGUAGGUAACCUGCCUGGUAGCGGGGGAUAACUAUUGGAAACGAUAGCUAAUACCGCAUAAUAUUAAUUAUUGCAUGAUAAUUAAUUGAAAGGUGCAAUUGCACCACUACCAGAUGGACCUGCGUUGUAUUAGCUAGUAGGUGAGGUAACGGCUCACCUAGGCGACGAUACAUAGCCGACCUGAGGGGGUUAUCGGCCACCACUGGACUGAGAAACGGCCCCGAACCCCUAGGGAGGGAAGCGGUGGGAAUUUUCGGGAAAUGAAGGAAGUCCUACCGAGCAACGCCGGGUGAGUGAAGGAGGGUUUCCGAUCGUAAAGCUUUGGUUUAAGAGAAGAACGGGUGGGGGAGUUGAAAGUUCACACUGUGACGGUUUCUUAACCAAAAGGGACGGCUAACUACGU